RNAcentral lists this transfer RNA (77 nucleotides) under Acidaminococcaceae bacterium. RNAcentral's name for it is "tRNA-Val". It matches the Rfam family "tRNA". Rfam says of the family: Transfer RNA (tRNA) molecules are approximately 80 nucleotides in length. Their secondary structure includes four short double-helical elements and three loops (D, anti-codon, and T loops). Further hydrogen bonds mediate the characteristic L-shaped molecular structure. tRNAs have two regions of fundamental functional importance: the anti-codon, which is responsible for specific mRNA codon recognition, and the 3' end, to which the tRNAs corresponding amino acid is attached (by aminoacyl-tRNA synthetases). tRNAs cope with the degeneracy of the genetic code in two manners: having more than one tRNA (with a specific anti-codon) for a particular amino acid; and 'wobble' base-pairing, i.e. permitting non-standard base-pairing at the 3rd anti-codon position. Lineage: Bacteria; Bacillati; Bacillota; Negativicutes; Acidaminococcales; Acidaminococcaceae. The record is from RNAcentral.
GGAACUAUAGCUCAGUUGGUUAGAGUACUACCUUGACAUGGUAGGGGUCACAAGUUCGAGUCUUGUUAGUUCCACCA